Molecule: ribosomal RNA, 276 nt
Filed under: uncultured bacterium
Lineage: Bacteria
Description: partial small subunit ribosomal RNA
Rfam family: Bacterial small subunit ribosomal RNA
Source: RNAcentral
AGAAUCAACGCUGGCGGCGUGCCUCAGACAUGCAAGUCGAACGCGAAAGUUUCCUUCGGGAAAUAAGUAGAGUGGCGCACGGGUGAGUAACACGUAGGUAAUCUACCUUCGGGUGGGGAAUAACCCAGGGAAACUUGGGCUAACACCGCAUGAUGCAGCGGCACCACAUGGUGACAGUUGUUAAAGCGGGGGAUUUUCGGACCUCGCGCCUGAAGAGGAGCCUGCGGCGGAUUAGCUAGUUGGUGAGGUAACGGCUCACCAAGGUCACGAUCCGUA